This 603-nucleotide long non-coding RNA is filed under the name Capra hircus (goat). RNAcentral's name for it is "lncRNA (ENSCHIG00010007320.1)". The record is from RNAcentral. Lineage: Eukaryota; Metazoa; Chordata; Mammalia; Artiodactyla; Bovidae.
CUUCAACCUGGUCCUGAAAUACAACUAUCCCUUUGGUGAAAAUUUGGCUAGUUCUUCCCAGGAAGAAAGGGGUUGGAGUAACUGGUAAAAGAAACAUAUACUUUCAUUUUUUAUUUUUCUUAAGUUAGCAUAGAACAAGAAAAAAUAAAAGGACCCAGUCAACCCUUUAUCCCCUAAGGAAUCCUUUUAUUAGGUUAAUAUUUGCAAUUCCCCUUCUCUCUGGUCUUUAAAAUAGGAUGAGUCCAAAGAAAUUUCUCAUUGAUUGGCUGAAGGGUGAACUGGAUGAGGAUGCAAAUGAGGACUGUGGGCUCUAUCAGAUUUCAUCACAUCACACACCUGCAUCUCCUCGGUUUGUUUACUUUCCACCCCUUGACUGCAUUCAAUAAACAGUACUCAGAGUGAAUAACAGCAGAGAUGGGACAGUGGAAAAAAUCAGUGAUAAAAAAAAUCCAUAUUUUAUUCUUUUAACUUGAGUAAAUACAAAAUUUCAUUAUCUUAAUUUGGGGUAGUUAGUUGAAAUCUCAUAUUUUACAUAUAAAUUUUACAACAUGUGACUUACAAUGAAGUUUUUUUAUAUAUAAUUUUGCAACAGAAAAUAAGUGU